This 255-nucleotide unclassified non-coding RNA is filed under the name uncultured Acidimicrobiia bacterium. Its description in RNAcentral is "contains 16S-23S intergenic spacer region". It matches the Rfam family "Bacterial small subunit ribosomal RNA", at positions 524 to 776 of the family's 1533-position model. The record is from RNAcentral. Lineage: Bacteria; Bacillati; Actinomycetota; Acidimicrobiia.
GACGUAGGGGGCGAGCGUUGUCCGGAUUUAUUGGGCGUAAAGCGCACGUAGGCGGUUUGGCAAGUCAGGUGUGAAACCCUCGGGCUCAACCCGGGGACGCCGCCUGAUACUGCUAUGACUAGAGUCCGGUAGGGGAGCGUGGAAUUCCUGGUGUAGCGGUGAAAUGCGCAGAUAUCAGGAGGAACACCAGCGGCGAAGGCGGCGCUCUGGGCCGGAACUGACGCUGAAGUUGCGAAAGCGUGGGGAGCAAACAGG